UACGGGGGGAGCAAGCGUUGUUCGGAUUUACUGGGCGUAAAGGGCGCGUAGGCGGCCACCGCAAGUCGACUGUGAAAUCUCCGGGCUUAACCCGGAAAGGUCAGCCGAUACUGCGGGGCUAGAGUGCAGAAGGGGCGACUGGAAUUCUCGGUGUAGCGGUGAAAUGCGUAGAUAUCGAGAGGAACACCUGCGGCGAAGGCGGGUUGCUGGGCUGACACUGACGCUGAGGCGCGAAAGCUAGGGGAGUGAACGGG
RNAcentral lists this ribosomal RNA (254 nucleotides) under uncultured bacterium. RNAcentral describes it as "partial 16S ribosomal RNA". It matches the Rfam family "Bacterial small subunit ribosomal RNA", at positions 524 to 776 of the family's 1533-position model. The record is from RNAcentral.